Papaver somniferum (opium poppy) is the source of this 503-nucleotide long non-coding RNA. RefSeq lists it as uncharacterized. The record is from RefSeq and is a predicted model, not a curated record. Lineage: Eukaryota; Viridiplantae; Streptophyta; Magnoliopsida; Ranunculales; Papaveraceae. The transcript has 3 exons.
ACAUGGUUUCAUUUGAAAAUACAAACACUCUGAGAAUUAUCUGAAUUCAAAAUACUUUCACCAGAAUCAAAUUUCUUAAGCUUUUUAGCUAUCUCAUCAAAAUGGCUUGUGGAUGUGGUUCUACUUGUGCCUCUAACUGCGGCUGUGGAUGCAAGUCCGCUGCUAAGGAAAACCUCGAGGGAGGAUGCAAGUGCGGAGACAGCUGCUCAUGUACCGACUGCAAGUGUUAAUGAAGAAAAUGAUGAAGAUCCCUGACAUCAUUUUAUUAUGGUAUGGUUGGUUUGUAUGUUUCUUUGGUGUUAAAUAAAGUAGCUAUCGUUAGCAAUACUUGAGCUUAAGUGUUGUUUAUAUAUUCCUAGCUACACAGUGUUUGUAUGUGCAAAACAGGAAAAAGAAAUUGUUUUGUUGUGUUGUGUUGUGUAAAAGUGGUAAUGGCUAAUGGGAGAUGUUUCACUCCUGCGGAUUUCAUAAUAAUAUUAUUACUGUCUCCUUUUUUCUUUGGA